CGGGAACCAAUCAAGUUCUGCCCAGUGUUCAAAUUUAAAUGUCAACCAAUAACAGCUCUGUAACCGCGAAAAAUCCCUAACUUGUUUGUGCCUGUCUAUAAAAGAAGCUGUAAGAUCCUCCCUCGGGACCUCUUAGCGUCACCGGUAACGAGUGCGCGGAGGACCGGGUUCGAACCUGCAAUAAACGACCCUUGCCACUUGGCUUUGACUCUGGACUCUGGUGGUUUGUUUUCGGGGGUCUCUCGAGUCGGGGCAUAUCAGAUUCACCUUACGUCUCCUGCUCUGCUCAGUGCCUAGAACGUGACGGUUUAGUCCCUUUCCUUUGAAUUCCUGGCUAGAUUAUAAAAUCCUGGAGGACAGAGAAUUGCCUUACUUUAUAUCCUGUUCAGUGUCUGGCAGUAAUUAAGUACCUUGCAGACACUUACUGAGUACUUGUUUGAAUGAAUGUAUCAGCUGGGGGCCAUGAGGAAUGCCUAAUGGGCUCUCUAUUGAGUGUUCUCAGCAACCACAGGGACUCUUCAUAUGUAUUAGAACAAAUGCAUCCCAAGGGAAACACCUAUUGAUUGAAGAGAUACGGACAGGGUUAAAGAAACCAACAAAGGAUGAUAAAGCACCCGGGAACCAGCAACAACGGGAAGCUCUAACCAUUCUAAAAUUGAUGGGCAAGUAAAAAGAACUGCGCUACUAGAAGGAAAUGAGAACUAGGGCCACGGGAAAACUACCACUGACUGGAUGGGAGCUGUGGCCCUGGAGGAAAGCCACCAUUGCUAAAACAGACUCAAGAUAUAAAAGAAGCAAGGGAGUAAUAAAUACCCUCAUCUGUCUCUUUCUACUCUGUGAUCUCCUGCCAGUGCUCCCACUGACCAGUCCCAACCAGUGGCCAGGGGUGAGGAACCCUGGAGGAAGCAGUCUACAAAGGUACCGAUGAAGACAUUUGAAAGACAAAGCCAUAAUUCAAGAUUUCUGGGUACUGUCUUAGAGAGAGGUCCAUUCCUAAUACAGAUGCUGGGUGCCAGCCCAAGAAGCUAUUUGUCCCUCACAAUGCUUUGCAGGAUUAAAUGAGGUGCUGGGACAGCUUCCCAUCUCUGAAAGGAUAAGACUGCAAAGUGGCUAGCGUUGGAACUGAAUUGUUACACUGAUAACACAUUUCCAGAAACAUAUAAAAAGUGACUCCAAAGACAAAUAAAAAUGACUGAUGACAUUUACAACUUCAAGUAU
Long non-coding RNA from Felis catus (domestic cat), 1218 nucleotides. RefSeq lists it as uncharacterized. The transcript has 3 exons. NCBI's taxonomy places the organism in Eukaryota, Metazoa, Chordata, Mammalia, Carnivora, Felidae. The record is from RefSeq and is a predicted model, not a curated record.